AGCAAAUGAUGUUGGAAUGCUUCAAGAAGCGGAUAUUGGUGUUGGUAUUAGUGGUGUUGAAGGAAUGCAGGUAUGUGGUAAACAGAUUAUUCUCUGUUUUACCUGUAAUUACAAUUUGUUAAUCAGUUUUGCUUUAUAUAUAUUCUGAAUUCUCCACUUUGGGGACUUUCCAAAACUUCAGGCAGUCAUGUCAAGCGAUUUU
Molecule: unclassified non-coding RNA, 202 nt
Filed under: Hevea brasiliensis (rubber tree)
Lineage: Eukaryota; Viridiplantae; Streptophyta; Magnoliopsida; Malpighiales; Euphorbiaceae
Source: RNAcentral